GAUGAACGCUGGCGGCGUGCCUAAUACAUGCAAGUCGAGCGAACAGACGAGGAGCUUGCUCCUCUGACGUUAGCAGCGGACGGGUGAGUAACACGUGGAUAACCUACCUAUAAGACUGGGAUAACUUCGGGAAACCGGAGCUAAUACCGGAUAAUAUAUUGAACCGCAUGGUUCAAUAGUGAAAGACGGUUUUGCUGUCACUUAUAGAUGGAUCCGCGCCGCAUUAGCUAGUUGGUAAGGUAACGGCUUACCAAGGCAACGAUGCGUAGCCGACCUGAGAGGGUGAUCGGCCACACUGGAACUGAGACACGGUCCAGACUCCUAAGGGAGGCAGCAGUAGGGAAUCUUCCGCAAUGGGCGAAAGCCUGACGGAGCAACGCCGCGUGAGUGAUGAAGGUCUUCGGAUCGUAAAACUCUGUUAUUAGGGAAGAACAAAUGUGUAAGUAACUAUGCACGUCUUGACGGUACCUAAUCAGAAAGCCACGGCUAACUACGUG
RNAcentral lists this ribosomal RNA (497 nucleotides) under uncultured bacterium. RNAcentral's name for it is "partial 16S ribosomal RNA". It matches the Rfam family "Bacterial small subunit ribosomal RNA", at positions 28 to 507 of the family's 1533-position model. The record is from RNAcentral.